Aquila chrysaetos chrysaetos is the source of this 1859-nucleotide long non-coding RNA. RefSeq lists it as uncharacterized. The record is from RefSeq and is a predicted model, not a curated record. NCBI's taxonomy places the organism in Eukaryota, Metazoa, Chordata, Aves, Accipitriformes, Accipitridae. The transcript has 2 exons.
CGGCGGCUCUGCUGGCAGCAGCCGGGCUGGCGGGCUCGGCGCUCCCCCGAGCCGCAGCUCCCCGGCCGGGCCGUUCCCGGGGGAGCGGAGGGGUAUGCCCGCCGCCUCCCAUCGCUCCUCUCGCCGCGCCGCACCGGCGGCGGAGGUUUCACUUCAGGAUAGCUCUUCUCUGGACCUGUGGACUGAAGAUUCAUUGGUGGCUGGAGCGCAUUAAGUGAACCCCUGGAGCACAUCUUCUGGUUUGGUUUUAUUCAAAAGGAGUCCAGCUUGCUUUCUGAAACUCGUGUCAAGUUAUAAACCACAGCACAGUAUCAGUCCAGAUGAUCAGGAGAUUUACUUCUAAAAUACACUGUUCAUCUGAACUUCAGUGCUACUCUAGAGGCAUCCUUAGUGUGCAAGUCUUGCUGGACUUGCGCGUUUUAAGUUCUCAAAGGCAAGUUACUCUGUGCGGAGCUCCAGAGCUUGACUGGUGACAUACCCGUGCACACCCUUGUGUGUUGUGAUCAGCCUCUGAUAGGAAGAGUUUGGGGCUGUCUAAGCCUUAGGCAGUCUGUCCCCUACUUUUCUAACUGCACCUCCUCCUACGACUUAACAGGAACUCACUCCUUGGGUCACCUCUGUGUCACUAAUAAAGCACCACAGACAUUAACACUCGCCGAACAUAACUUGAUAACCACCAUGCACUGUUUGCCUUUUAGUCACAUGUAUUUAAACAGCCUCCAGGGUCACAGCAUCCUCAAAACUUUUUAAAAACUGAAAAACUACCCAGGCUUUUUGGAGCCCCAUUUGAACGCUCUUCAGUUCUGCUCUCCACUCUUCCAUAGAAAUCUCAGCAAAGCUCACGGAAAAUCUUAACCUCAUACAAAGAAAAACUUUCACUCAGCCUUGUAAGCCAAGGUGAGAGUCUAAAUGAAGCAGAAUGUAUAAACACUCUUGUUCCCCAUUUUUUUUUCUUUCAGUCAAGAAAAUCUCAAGGCAGGCUAAACUAACAUGCCAGGCUCAGCCAAGCUUCUUCCUGGUCCCAGGCUCUUCUUUAUUACGCAAUUCUAGACCUUUGAAAGGAAAAGUAACUCUUUUGUGGGUGGGUUCUUUGUGCCUGUGUCCUUUCUAAAGAAGUAUCUGUUGAAUCUCUGGACAGUAUUAUAAUAAGGGCUAAUUAGAUUGUAGGCUGCCAUUAGUCUUUAUGUGCUACUGUGGACUUUAUACUCCCUGUCUAUUGAGAGGAAAGCAGCAAGGUCUUUUGUGACUGAUUGAAAUGGGUUUGCAGUAGAUUUUAUUUUCCUUUGGAUUUGGUCUUAAUUUUUUUCAGCAAAGUAAAAAUGAGACGUUUACUAAUUUGCCCUUUAUAUUGCUAUAUGAAUGCUAUAUUGGUACUUUGUAAAAUAUUUACAUUUCAGAUUUUUGAUUAAAUGCAUAAGUCAUAAUAAGGUAGACUAUAAAUAUGUAAAAUACAAUAUUCAGUGCUAGCCUGUGAUUUUUCAGAUCCUGAUGUUUAAAUAAUUUUUGAAUGUAAAUUGUGAAAAACCUCAACUGAAUUUUCAUAAGUCACAUAGUAUAAGUUUAUUUGAAAGUGGGACUUUGACACAGGUCAUACUUGUCAUUCAGUAGAGAUGAGAAACGGCUUUAGAAAGGAGAGAGAGUCCAAAGCACUGGUGUGUCUGGGAUGGGAGAUGUUAAUAAAUGCUACCUACUACGGGGGGGCUGGGGGGGGGGGGGCAAGAUGCCUAAAAAUCUGUCAGAGAACUGAGUGGAAAAAAGAACUAAAAAGAUGGGUUUCCCAUCCAACUGUUAAUGUAAAAUGACUAGCAUGAUGGUUUUGCUACUUGGCAUCUUGGCAGAAUAAAGUGUAAUAUCUUGGA